Molecule: unclassified non-coding RNA, 248 nt
Filed under: uncultured Sordariales
Lineage: Eukaryota; Fungi; Ascomycota; Sordariomycetes; Sordariales
Description: sequence contains 5.8S rRNA gene, ITS2, 28S rRNA gene
Rfam family: 5.8S ribosomal RNA (bases 1-52)
Source: RNAcentral
AACGCACAUUGCGCCCGCCAGUAUUCUGGCGGGCAUGCCUGUUCGAGCGUCAUUUCAACCAUCAAGCCCUAGGCUUGUGUUGGGGUCCUGCGGCUGCCCGCAGGCCCCUAAAUACAGUGGCGGGCUCGCUAUCGCACCGAGCGCAGUAGGUAACUCCUCGCUUAGGGCGCGACGGCGGGCGCCGGCCGUGAAACCCCCCAUCAUACAAGGUUGACCUCGGAUCAGGUAGGAAUACCCGCUGAACUUAA